Molecule: ribosomal RNA, 1047 nt
Filed under: Enterococcus gallinarum
Lineage: Bacteria; Bacillati; Bacillota; Bacilli; Lactobacillales; Enterococcaceae
Description: bacterial SSU rRNA
Rfam family: Bacterial small subunit ribosomal RNA
Source: RNAcentral
AAGAAANGUUUUCCGGAUCGUUAAANUCUGUUGAUUAGAGAAGAACCNAGGGCAUGAGAGUAAUACCGUUCANCCUUUGACGGUAUCUACACGAGAAAGCNNCGGCUAACUUACGUGCCAGCAGCCGCGGUAAUACGUAGGGUGGCAAGCGUUAUUCGGAUUUAUUGGGCGUAAAGCGAGCGCAGGCGGUUUCUUUAAGUCUGAUGUGAAAGCCCCCGGCUCAACCGGGGAGGGUCAUUGGAAAACUGGGAGACUUGAGUGCAGAAGAGGAGAGUGGAAUUCCAUGUGUAGCGGUGAAAUGCGUAGAUAUAUGGAGGAACACCAGUGGCGAAGGCGGCUCUCUGGUCUGUAACUGACGCUGAGGCUCGAAAGCGUGGGGAGCGAACAGGAUUAGAUACCCUGGUAGUCCACGCCGUAAACGAUGAGUGCUAAGUGUUGGAGAUGUUUCCGCCCUUCAGUGCUGCAGCAAACGCAUUAAGCACUCCGCCUGGGGAGUACGACCGCAAGGUUGAAACUCAAAGGAAUUGACGGGGGCCCGCACAAGCGGUGGAGCAUGUGGUUUAAUUCGAAGCAACGCGAAGAACCUUACCAGGUCUUGACAUCCUUUGACCACUCUAGAGAUAGAGCUUCCCCUUCGGGGGCAAAGUGACAGGUGGUGCAUGGUUGUCGUCAGCUCGUGUCGUGAGAUGUUGGGUUAAGUCCCGCAACGAGCGCAACCCUUAUUGUUAGUUGCCAUCAUUUAGUUGGGCACUCUAGCGAGACUGCCGGUGACAAACCGGAGGAAGGUGGGGAUGACGUCAAAUCAUCAUGCCCCUUAUGACCUGGGCUACACACGUGCUACAAUGGGAAGUACAACGAGUUGCGAAGUCGCGAGGCUAAGCUAAUCUCUUAAAGCUUCUUUCAGUUCGGAUUGUAGGUUGCAACUCGCCUACAUGAAGCCGGAAUCGCUAGUAAUCGCGGAUCAGCACGCCGCGGUGAAUACGUUCCCGGGCCUUGUACACACCGCCCGUCACACCCCGAGAGUUUGUAACACCCGAAGUCGGUCGG